GCCCUUAGAGUUUGAUCCUGGCUCANGAUGAACGCUAGCGGCAGGCCUAACACAUGCAAGUCGAGGGGUAAAGAGUAGCUNGCUACNGCUGACGACCGGCGCACGGGUGCGUAACGCGUAUACAAUCUACCUUUUGCUGAGGGAUAGCCCAGAGAAAUUUGGAUUAACACCUCAUAGUAUGCAGACUNCUCAUGGAGAUUGCAUUAAAGGUUACGGCAAAAGAUGAGUAUGCGUCCUAUUAGCUAGAUGGAGUGGUAACGGCACACCAUGGCAACGAUAGGUAGGGGCCCUGAGAGGGGGAUCCCCCACACUGGUACUGAGACACGGACCAGACUCCUACGGGAGGCAGCAGUGAGGAAUAUUGGACAAUGGAGGCAACUCUGAUCCAGCCAUGCCGCGUGCAGGAAGNNUGCCCUAUGGGUUGUAAACUGCUUUUAUACAGGAAGAAAACAGUCCCCUCGUGAGGGAUCUUGACGGUACUGUAAGNAAUAAGGAUCGGCUAACUCCCGUGCCAGCAGCCCGCGGUAAUAAGGGCG
This 536-nucleotide ribosomal RNA is filed under the name uncultured bacterium. RNAcentral describes it as "bacterial SSU rRNA". It matches the Rfam family "Bacterial small subunit ribosomal RNA", at positions 1 to 531 of the family's 1533-position model. The record is from RNAcentral.